UCGAGGAUCUUCGUCAAUGGGCGCAAGCCUGAACGAGCGACGCCGCGUGCGCGAUGAAGGCCUUCGGGUUGUAAAGCGCGAAAGUGGGGAUAAAGCCGCAAGGUUGAUAGAUCCACAGUAAGGACGGGCUAAGUUCGUGCCAGCAGCCGCGGUAAGACGAACUGUCCUAACGUUGUUCGGAAUCACUGGGCUUAAAGGGCGCGUAGGCGGUCGACCAAGUCAGGGGUGAAAUCCUGCAGCUUAACUGCAGAAGUGCCUUUGAUACUGGUUGUCUCGAGGGAGGUAGGGGUGUGUGGAACUCACAGUGGAGCGGUGAAAUGCGUUGAUAUUGUGAGGAACGCCGGAGGCGAAAGCGACGCACUGGACCUCUUCUGACGCUGAGGCGCGAAAGCUAGGGGAGCAAACG
This 406-nucleotide ribosomal RNA is filed under the name uncultured Planctomycetaceae bacterium. RNAcentral's name for it is "partial 16S ribosomal RNA". It matches the Rfam family "Bacterial small subunit ribosomal RNA", at positions 355 to 774 of the family's 1533-position model. The record is from RNAcentral. Lineage: Bacteria; Pseudomonadati; Planctomycetota; Planctomycetia; Planctomycetales; Planctomycetaceae.